This 546-nucleotide long non-coding RNA is filed under the name Equus caballus (horse). RNAcentral describes it as "lncRNA (ENSECAG00000047325.1)". The record is from RNAcentral. Lineage: Eukaryota; Metazoa; Chordata; Mammalia; Perissodactyla; Equidae.
GGGGAGGAAGGCAGAUGCAAUCCUCAGAAUGAUGGUAAGUGGAGACCUCAGGAUGACAACUGGGCAGCCCCCCAAAUUGAAAGAAGUCAACAGGAGGAACUUUAUCAAGAAGAUCAAAUGGAUAAGAAAAAACUAAUAUUCGAGCUUCUGCCCCUGGGAGAGCAGAAGGUAGAGGACCUGGAGGCUCGAGUGUGUGAUCAGCUUCUCAGUUGCACGAUUCAUACAUUUCUGGUUGCCAAGGGAGGAACGUGCAGCGUCCAGCGUGAACCAGUGGGAUAUACAGAUUUUCCGACCCCAGCUUCCUUCAUGUCUACGACUUCCAUUGAUAUCUGCAAAUUCAGGAAUAUUCUGGAAAAAGACAUUGGUACACUGGAGACACCACCUCUCCUCCCUUGCUCUACCUCCUGCAGCCAGAAUCCAGCAAGAUGCAUUUAUUAGCAUUCUCAGCAGGCUGAAGAGUCCUGGGACCAGAAGGGGAACAGAACGCCUGCCCAGAACGCCUGCCCUCAGGCAUAACAUUGUAGCUCCCCAAAGCUAAGGAUACGC